Calypte anna (Anna's hummingbird) is the source of this 439-nucleotide long non-coding RNA. RefSeq lists it as uncharacterized. The transcript is spliced from 3 exons. NCBI's taxonomy places the organism in Eukaryota, Metazoa, Chordata, Aves, Apodiformes, Trochilidae. The record is from RefSeq and is a predicted model, not a curated record.
UUUCUUUAUUUGAGAAAAUGUAAUCCAGUGAGUGGGGGAUAGAAACUGCCCCUUGGAAAUAUAUAUCCAAGUAACUGUAUUCCAGCACCAUAUGGGGUUUAAGGGUCUAGUGCUUUGCCUUCAAAAGCAGCAUUUAAAUAGGUGCAUGCCUAAUAAAUUCUGGCCUGAGCUUCAGUCCUUUGCAUUCAAGAAGCAGCUUGUUUUCAUAAAAAUGCCUGGGGCAGGCUGAAGAACAAAAUUUCACUCUGAGGGCCAUUCUCAUGAACAUUCUCAUCUCCUGCAAAAUUCAUGCCAUACUUCUGACAGUAUAAACUGGUUUUGCCCACUUGACAAAGAUGCAGACAUCUUUGCAGAGAUGAGGCAGAAGACUGGUUCUCACUGUAUGUUCUUUUCAAUGGUAUCACAGGAUUUCUUAAAAAUGAGACCUGGGACCCUGAAA